AGUCGAACGGCAGCACGGACUUCGGUCUGGUGGCGAGUGGCGAACGGGUGAGUAAUGUAUCCGGAACGUGCCUGAAGUAGCGGGGGAUAACUACGCGAAAGCGUAGCUAAUACCGCAUACGCCCUUCGGGGGAAAGCGAGGGACCUUCGGGCCUCGCACUAUUAGAGCGGCCGAUAUCGGAUUAGCUAGUUGGUGGGGUAACGGCUCACCAAGGCGACGAUCCGUAGCUGGUUUGAGAGGACGACCAGCCACACUGGGACUGAGACACGGCCCCAGACUCCUACAGGAGGCAGCAGUGGGGAAUUUUGGACAAUGGGGAAACCCUGAUCCAGCCAUCCCGCGUGUGCGAUAGAGGCCUUCGGGUUGUAAAGCACUUUUGGCAGGAAAGAAACGGCACGGGAUAAUACCCCGUGCAACUGACGUUACCUGCAGAAUAAGCACCGGCUAACUACGUGCCAGCAGCCGCGGUAAUACGUAGGGUGCAAGCGUUAAUCGGAAUUACUGGGCGUAAAGCGUGCGCGAGCGGUUCGGAAGAAAGAUGUGAAAUCCCAGAGCUUAACUUUGGAACUGCAUUUUUAACUACCGAGCUAGAGUGUGUCAGAGGGAGGUGGAAUUCCGCGUGUAGCAGUGAAAUGCGUAGAUAUGCGGAGGAACACCGAUGGCGAAGGCAGCCUCCUGGGAUAACACUGACGCUCAUGCACGAAAGCGUGGGGAGCAAACAGGAUUAGAUACCCUGGUAGUUCACGCCCUAAGCUUGAUGUCAACUAGCUGUUGGGGCCUUCGGGCCUUGGUAGCGCAGCUAACGCGUGAAGUUGACCGCCUGGGAGUACGGUCGCAAGAUUAAAACUCAAAGGAAUUGACGGGGACCCGCACAAGCGGUGGAUGAUGUGGAUUAAUUCGAUGCAACGCGAAAAACCUUACCUACCCUUGACAUGUCUGGAAUCCCGAAGAGAUUUGGGAGUGCUCGCAAGAGAACGGAACACAGGUGCUGCAUGGCUGUCGUCAGCUCGUGUCGUGAGAUGUUGGGUUAAGUCCCGCAACGAGCGCAACCCUUGUCAUUAGUUGCUACGAAGGGCACUCUAAUGAGACUGCCGGUGACAAACCCGGAGGGAAGGUGGGGAUGACGUCAAGUCCUCAUGGCCCUUAUGGUGGGAAGCUACGCGUCAUACAAUGGUCGGGACAGAGGGUCGCCAACCCGCGAGGGGGAACAAUCCCAGAAACCCGAUCGUAGUCGGAUCGCAGUCUGCAACUCGACUCGCGUGAAGUCGGAAUCGCUAGUAAUCGCGGAUCAGCGUAUCGCGGUGAAUACGUUCCCGGGUCUUGUACACACCGCCCGUCACACCAUGGGAGUGGGUUUUACCAGAAGUAGUUAGCCUAACCGUAAGGAGGGCGAUUACCACGGUAGGAUUCAUGACUGGGGGUGAAGUCGUAACAAGGUAG
This 1440-nucleotide ribosomal RNA is filed under the name uncultured Bordetella sp. Its description in RNAcentral is "partial 16S-23S ribosomal RNA intergenic spacer". It matches the Rfam family "Bacterial small subunit ribosomal RNA". The record is from RNAcentral. Lineage: Bacteria; Pseudomonadati; Pseudomonadota; Betaproteobacteria; Burkholderiales; Alcaligenaceae.